Etheostoma cragini (Arkansas darter) is the source of this 184-nucleotide long non-coding RNA. RefSeq lists it as uncharacterized. The record is from RefSeq and is a predicted model, not a curated record. The transcript has 3 exons. Lineage: Eukaryota; Metazoa; Chordata; Actinopteri; Perciformes; Percidae.
UGUUGUUUCCAUAUGUGGGUCAUUGGGGCGUUUCUGAACGCAAAUGGCCUCAUCGUGAAUAAGCAUGGUCGUUAAGAACAGGUGGGAUUCAUCAAGAUUGAUUACUUACUGAUUGGCUUGCGCAGGUUUGAUAAAGGAUGAUUUUAUUUGUACUUAGGCACACACUAAAUUUCAUUCAUAAAAC